GAACACCAAAACAAACCUGGAGAGCAUCCUCUCCUACCCCAAGGACUUCACCUGUGUCCACCAGGCCCUGAAGGGCUUCACGACCAAAGGUGUCACCUCAGUCUCUCAGAUCUUCCACAGCCCAGUGGACUGAAGGCUUUUGGAGAGCAAAAGCCAGGAAGUUUUGUCACAAACUUCCACUGAGGCCAGGAAGCAGAGUCUAUUCCGUGCCAAAUGAAGGGAAGAAAAGAGGGAAAAUCUAGGCAAAUGAAAUUUAAUAUCUCAAAAAGAUUAUCUUGCCAAGCCAUAGUCACAUAGCAAGCUGAGGCAGCAGAGACUUGGGGCUACUUCUCGUUCUUGGUUCUGGGUUUGCCUUCUUUGGGCCUCAUUUGCCACAUCUGUAAGAGGAGUGGGCUGGAUCGCGCUCCACCGUGCCGUAUUCACUAAGUGAGCAGAUAGAACCAUAGGAGGCAUGCUCACUCUCAAAUCUUGCUCGUGGAAAGAACGACGUGUUCAGGGGACUCAUGCCUCCCUUUCUCAACAUACCCCCAGACCUGGCCAUAAGGGACACCUUUGUGAAUGCCUCUCGGACCCUGUAC
Molecule: small RNA, 578 nt
Filed under: Pongo abelii (Sumatran orangutan)
Lineage: Eukaryota; Metazoa; Chordata; Mammalia; Primates; Hominidae
Description: processed transcript
Source: RNAcentral